This 492-nucleotide ribosomal RNA is filed under the name uncultured bacterium. RNAcentral's name for it is "partial 16S ribosomal RNA". It matches the Rfam family "Bacterial small subunit ribosomal RNA", at positions 29 to 507 of the family's 1533-position model. The record is from RNAcentral.
AGUGAACGCUGGCGGUAGGCCUAACACAUGCAAGUCGAACGGCAGCACAGUAAUAGCUUGCUCUUACGGUUGGCGAGUGGCGGAUGGGUGAGGAAUACAUCGGACUCUACUUUUUCGUGGGGGAUAACGUAGGGAAACUUACGCUAAUACCGCAUACGACCUACGGGUGAAAGCAGGGGAUCUUCGGACCUUGCGCGAUUGAAUGAGCCGAUGUCGGAUUAGCUAGUUGGCGGGGUAAAGGCCCACCAAGGCGACGAUCCGUAGCUGGUCUGAGAGGAUGAUCAGCCACACUGGAAAUGAGAAACGGUCCAGACUCCUACGGGAGGCGGCAGUGGGGAAUAUUGGACAAUGGGCACAAGCCUGAUCCAGCCAUACCGCGUGGGGGAAGAAGGACUUCGGGUUGUAGAGCGCUUUUGUUGGGAAAGAAAAGCAGCAGGUUAAUACCGCGCUGUUCUGACGGUACCUAAAGAAUAAGCACCGGCUAACUUCGUG